RNAcentral lists this ribosomal RNA (500 nucleotides) under uncultured bacterium. RNAcentral's name for it is "partial 16S ribosomal RNA". It matches the Rfam family "Bacterial small subunit ribosomal RNA", at positions 30 to 523 of the family's 1533-position model. The record is from RNAcentral.
AUUGAACGCUGGCGGCAUGCCUUACACAUGCAAGUCGAACGGCUGCACGGGAGCAAUCCUGGUGGCGAGUGGCGAACGGGUGAGUAAAGUAUCGGAACGUGCCCAGUCGUGGGGGAUAACGUAGCGAAAGUUACGCUAAUACCGCAUACGAUCUAUGGAUGAAAGCGGGGGAUCGCAAGACCUCGCGCGAUUGGAGCGGCCGAUAUCAGAUUAGGUAGUUGGUGGGGUAGAGGCUCACCAAGCCAACGAUCUGUAGCUGGUCUGAGAGGACGACCAGCCACACUGGAACUGAGACACGGUCCAGACUCCUACGGGAGGCAGCAGUGGGGAAUUUUGGACAAUGGGCGAAAGCCUGAUCCAGCCAUGCCGCGUGCAGGAUGAAGGCCCUCGGGUUGUAAACUGCUUUUGUACAGAACGAAAAGGUUUCUACUAAUACUAGGAGCUCAUGACGGUACUGUAAGAAUAAGCACCGGCUAACUACGUGCCAGCAGCCGCGGUAA